Long non-coding RNA from Nothoprocta perdicaria, 1282 nucleotides. RefSeq lists it as uncharacterized. Lineage: Eukaryota; Metazoa; Chordata; Aves; Tinamiformes; Tinamidae. The record is from RefSeq and is a predicted model, not a curated record. The transcript has 2 exons.
AGGACAACAGGCAUCAGGCACAAAAUGAAACACAGGAAAGUCUGUCUGACAAGUCUUCUUCACUGUGCGGAUGAUUGAACGUGGAUCAGGCUGCGCAGAGAGUUUGUGGCAUCUCUGUCCUUGGAGAUUGGGAAGGACUGCCUGCUGAAGCUACGUGUCUCUUUUAGAUGAAGAGCUUAAACUACAGCCCUGACUUCUGGGUGGCCACUGUUAGCUGCAGUGAGUUGUCCUCUGAGUGACUGUGUCAUGAAUGAGAGGCUUGAGCACUGGGAAGACAAGGAGACAUAACACCAACCACAAAGUGAAUCAUUGCAACCAAAUGAAAAAGAAAAUAAUUGUUAACCUUUUGUAAUCUUUAUUUCUUAACAUUGUGUUAAGUAUUAUGUACCAUCAUUCCUUUUUUCAGUAUGAGCUUUUUCAGUAAUGGWCUACCUGAGGUAACUGGUUUACGGUAGCUCCACUAAUAUAUGGGCAUUCUUGAUCCUUGUUCUUUUUAGUGGUUGGUUUGUCAGAGAAGGUGCACAACUAGCUGUGAGAGGCAGCAAUAGGCAUCUGUUCAGAGGCCAGCUCAGUUCAUGGGGAGGAACUUGGACAGACCUGGGCCUUUAAGAUGGACUGAAACACAGGAAACAGAGACACUAUCCAAGGAGUAUCACACAGUGCCUGGACAGCUACAGAGGAGGAAACAGCUGAAAGGGGCUUUCUGGGGAGCUGAGAAGUGGACAGACACAUGUGAGAACGCUGAARAGGGAAGGAAAGGCAGUGCUGAUGAGUAAUCCCACUUGAAUCUUUCAUGGCACUGGAACCAACAAAAAAUGUCAUGAUAUCACCCAGUGUCGCAAUUCUGUAAAACAAACUUGAAAAGAAUUAUGACAAAGAAACUUCUAAAGGUGGCAAAUUUUGAGUCAUCUAGCACAACUGAUUAUGGUAUCAAAGAUAAAAAGUGGUUAUUGGAAGAGGUGUCUGAAUGUCUUGAGGUAAUAAUUGCAUUGUUAUGAAAGCUUCAUAACGGGGUGCCCUUCACGCUGUCACAGUGUUGGUUGUGCAUGCACAACAUUCUGCACAAUAAAGCUGGCAUGCUCCUUACAGUGGCAAAGCUGGAGAUGUUUGUCAUGUUACAUUACUGGAAAAGUUAAUUGAUAGAACAAAAGUCAUGUCAAAAGAUGCAGUUAUGUUGCUCAGUUACAGGGGUUAAAAUGGUGCGCUAAUUUUAAAUGGAAGUAUAAAUGUGAUCAAGCCUUGCACUCACCCUUUGAUGGUUGUUCCAAUAUACAAUCAUCCA